This 548-nucleotide ribosomal RNA is filed under the name uncultured bacterium. RNAcentral describes it as "bacterial SSU rRNA". It matches the Rfam family "Bacterial small subunit ribosomal RNA", at positions 28 to 600 of the family's 1533-position model. The record is from RNAcentral.
AACUAACGCUGGCGGCGUGCCUAACACAUGCAAGUCGUACAAGAAAGGGGUUUCGGCCCUGAGUAGAGUGGCGCACGGGUGAGUAACGCGUAGGUGAUCUACCCGUGGGACGGGGAUAACUUACCGAAAGGUGAGCUAAUACUCGAUGUAGUCGAGAGACUAAAGUGAUGAUGAGUCACCCCAUGGAUGAGCCUGCGUCCCAUUAGCUAGUUGGUGGGGUAAUGGCCUACCAAGGCGACGAUGGGUAGCUGGUCUGAGAGGAUGGCCGGCCACACUGGAACUGGAACACGGUCCAUACUCCUACGGGAGGCAGCAGUGAGGAAUAUUGGACAAUGGGGGCAACCCUGAUCCAGCAACGCCGCGUGAGUGAUGAAGGCCUUCGGGUUGUAAAGCUCUGUUGAUGGGAAAGAAGUAAGUGACGGUACCCAUCGAGGAAGCACCGGCUAACUCCGUGCCAGCAGCCGCGGUAAUACGGAGGGUGCAAGCGUUGUUCGGAAUUACUGGGCGUAAAGGGGGCGUAGGGCGGUUUGUUAAGUCAAAUGUGAAAG